GGGGCGUUAGCUCAGUUGGUAGAGUGCAACAAUGGCAUUGUUGAGGCCAUCGGUUCGAGUCCGAUACGCUCCA
Molecule: transfer RNA, 73 nt
Filed under: Verrucomicrobiota bacterium
Lineage: Bacteria; Pseudomonadati; Verrucomicrobiota
Description: tRNA-Ala
Rfam family: tRNA
About the family: Transfer RNA (tRNA) molecules are approximately 80 nucleotides in length. Their secondary structure includes four short double-helical elements and three loops (D, anti-codon, and T loops).
Source: RNAcentral